GCUUGUUUCAUUUUUCAGUAAAGAAUAUAGCGAAGUAACUGCUUUAUAUCAUGCUUAUUAACUAUUGGAUUAGGCUAGAAACUGUUGAAAAUAUGAUUUAUAAUAUUUAGCAUCCAAGAGGAUGUAAUAGUGCAGUAUUUGUUCUAUAUUGAUAUUUGAACGGCUGUAGGUAGCAAUUGAGGUCAUGAAAAGGUAGCCAUCAUCAUAGAGAUUUCCUAGCUUUUAGCAAAAAGAAUAUAACACUAGUUAAAAGAUGGGACUAUGAAAAUUCGAUGAAAUUUUCAUGCUAUAUAACCUUUUAUAGGAUAAGAUCUUUGGCAGGCAAUUAAUUAAAUAUAUUGUUUUGUAAAAAGGUUUUGGAUAAUAAGUUAAGGACAAUAUGAUUCUUUUGAGAAGUUUCUGAAUUACUUGAGAUUUUGGCACUAAAUAGAUCCAUGCAUUAUUGGUGAAAUACAACUAUAUUUUUAGUUCUAUAUCUUGUAUUAAUUUUAUAUUUCUAAGUAUGCUCUCUUUCCCUGACAUUUUCAUUAUAUGAUAAAGGAUACUGGCUAAUCGGCAGUCUGCUGCUCGCUCAAAGGAGAGGAAAGCUCGCUAUAUACAGGAGCGAAAAGUUUAGACUCUUCAAACAGAAGCUACAACUCUAUCUGCCCAACUCACACUCUUCCAGGGAAUAUUGACUACUCUUUCCCAAAGCAAUGGCAAGUACAUGUAUGACUAUGCAACUAUUUCAUUUCUUGCUGAAGUGUUCAAGGCUAAAACUCUACUUGAAUAUUUAAGAGAACUAAGACAAUUAUAUAAGAGAACUAAGGCAACAAGAAAUUCUUCUUCAAGUUGUUGGGUAUUAUUUUCUUUUUUGCUUGUAAGAAUUAUGUACAUUGAGGAUUUGAUGUAUUAUUUACAUUGAGAAUAAUGAAUUUUUAUUGAGAAUUAUAAUGAAUUUUCAUUGAGAAUUAUUUAGUCUCA
This is a long non-coding RNA of Humulus lupulus (European hop), 963 nucleotides long. RefSeq lists it as uncharacterized. The transcript is spliced from 3 exons. Lineage: Eukaryota; Viridiplantae; Streptophyta; Magnoliopsida; Rosales; Cannabaceae. The record is from RefSeq and is a predicted model, not a curated record.